Erinaceus europaeus (western European hedgehog) is the source of this 165-nucleotide small nuclear RNA. Its record names the gene U1. It matches the Rfam family "U1 spliceosomal RNA". Rfam says of the family: U1 is a small nuclear RNA (snRNA) component of the spliceosome (involved in pre-mRNA splicing). Its 5' end forms complementary base pairs with the 5' splice junction, thus defining the 5' donor site of an intron. NCBI's taxonomy places the organism in Eukaryota, Metazoa, Chordata, Mammalia, Eulipotyphla, Erinaceidae. The record is from Ensembl.
AUAUUUGACUGGCAGGGGAGAUAACCAUGGCCACAAGGGUGAUUUUCCCAGGGCGAAUCUUAUCCAACAAUUUCUGGAUAUGCUGACACCUGCGAUUUCCCAAAAUGUGGGAAACUCGACUGCAUAAUUUGUGGUAGUGGGGGACUACGUUUGCACUAUUCUGAC